UUGCCCAUCGGGGCUGCGGAUACCGGGUUUCAUUAUU
Unclassified non-coding RNA from Neogale vison (American mink), 37 nucleotides. Lineage: Eukaryota; Metazoa; Chordata; Mammalia; Carnivora; Mustelidae. The record is from Ensembl.